This 462-nucleotide ribosomal RNA is filed under the name uncultured bacterium. RNAcentral describes it as "partial 16S ribosomal RNA". It matches the Rfam family "Bacterial small subunit ribosomal RNA", at positions 339 to 795 of the family's 1533-position model. The record is from RNAcentral.
CUACGGGGCGCAGCAGUGGGGAAUAUUGGGCAAUGGGCGCAAGCCUGACCCAGCCACGCCGCGUGAGUGAUGAAGGCCUUCGGGUCGUAAAGCUCUGUGGGGAGGGACGAAAAAACGGGUGUCAACAACACCCGGACUGACGGUACCUCCUUAGCAAGCACCGGCUAACUCCGUGCCAGCAGCCGCGGUAAUACGGAGGUGCAAACGUUGCUCGGAAUCAUUGGGCGUAAAGCGCACGUAGGCGGCCACGCAAGUCGGGUGUGAAAGCCCUCGGCUCAACCGAGGAAGUGCACUCGAAACUGCAUGGCUUGAAUACCGGAGGGGAUCGCGGAAUUCCCGGUGUAGAGGUGAAAUUCGUAGAUAUCGGGAGGAACACCAGUGGCGAAGGCGGCGAUCUGGACGGCUAUUGACGCUGAGGUGCGAAAGCGUGGGGAGCAAACAGGAUUAGAUACCCUCGUAGUC